UGACUAUUCUUGGAAUAUAUACUAUUUCUCCCACAAUGUGUUCCUGAUAUUAUCUGUGCUUCGACGGAAUUUCUUCCACAUGAGGUCCUAUUGUUAUCCAUUUAUCAUUUAUCUUUUACUGUACUUUUUAUGAUCAGCCACUUUUUGCAAAAAUAAUCUGUAUCAUUUUUUCGGCAUUUUUAUCAUGUUGCUUUGUAAUAUAUAUUUUUCUUUAGAAGAGUUACAAACAAUAUUAAAACCUGAAAACAGAUGACACAUUAGACAUGGGCAGCUAUUGAUGCUUGUACGGACAUGUUAGUCUAAACUUCAAAGAAUAUAAGUUAUACCAUGAAAACAGUGCCUGUGACAUUCACCUAACCUACCCGAAUGUUUCCUCUGUUUGUAAAUAUGAGGUAUAUUUCUUGCCUCAAACAGAUCAUAUUUCCCAUUUUCUUACAAAAUAAGAGUCCUGUUCCUUGUAUGCCCUAUUAUAUAUAUAGGUGCAAUGUAGUCACUAUGGGGGUAGCAGGGACAGUUUCCAUAUUUAGUCAUCAAUGGAUUAGGGACGGAAACACAUGACAAUACUGAGCUAGCUAAAUUACCAUGUAGACCCUCUGCCUAUUUUCUCAUUGUUGUUAUUUAUAGAAAACAGAACUGACUUACCAUAGUGAAGUGCUGACUUUGAGCAGUAAAAGUUGUCGGUUGGUGCAUGCAUGACUCCAGCUUUGCAGUUUGACAUUUUCCUUAGACAUUUGGAAAAGUAAACACAUAAAGAGGAACUCAUAUAUAUUUUUCAUAAAGAGGAAUGCCCUGCAAAAUUUUAAAAUGGUGAAACUUUUAUCUAUGCUUGCUAGUAAUUCCAAGCCAAAUGCAAUAGAGAUGUAGAAUGUCACAACUAUGACAUGAAUAAUUAUAACUUUAGUCAUUCAGAAUUUUAGUGCUAAAAGUAACCUGAAUGUCAAAUACAGAAAGGUUUACCUCUGUCAUUGUGUCAACUUAUUUUGAGGGAUUUGAACAUUUGGUGAAAUUAAUUGAUGAUCAUACACAUGGAAAACAUUUUGGCAGAACUACAGUUAGUGAUGAUUUUCCGUACGCAUGGCCUGUAGCAGAACUGUAAUCUAGCAUUAUCUAAAAUAAGAGACCAGCCUUGGACUAUUAUCUUCCCAUGGCACCACCAUGCUAAUGCUGAAAACAACGUCUAGUACAAUGAAUCUUGCUUUGAAUAUAACAGAACUACUACCCUGCAACUUUAUUCUAUACUGGAAAAUAAUUGAUGCAAUAGUUAAGCUUAUUCCAACUCUUGUAAGGUACAAUGCACAUAAAAGAAAGGGUAUGCAAUUUACAGGUCACUAAUCAUAUUCUUGAUUCUUAACUAUGUGUUGGGUUUCUUCUAACAUUCAUAAUAAAGAUAGGCAAAUACGUGAAUUAUUUCCGCUACAUUUUCCAGAACAGCAGGAUUAUGGAUAGUUCCGAGAAGAGCGCCUCCCGAUCAUGGCUAUCAAUACUCUCGUUGUACUCGUCAAGUCCGACAUCCUAGUGCUAUAUCUCGGUCGGUGUCAAGGAAAUUUUCAACCUGGCCUGAUGGAUGAAGGUGUUUCCUACUUCUGUAUCUCUAUGGUGAUCAAGACUCAGUGAUCCAUGACAUGUAGGAUUUUGGUUCACUGCUCUCACAAAAAGGGGUAAACAUGCAUGGCGUGCCAUAAAUGGGUCUGGUUUGCAGGGAAGCAUUUUGUUGUCUGGCCAUUACUAUUGUCGUCACCUAUACAAAUCGGAACUGACCUGACAUGCUCGUCAUUCAUGGGUGAUUGUUGUCAUUAGCUCCACCCUUAUCAGCUUACCAAAUCUGAAGCCUCGCUUCUCUCCUGGAUUUGCAUGUUGGUGGAUGGAUGUAUGCGUUCAGCAAAGCACAGAGGCAGAAGACCAGCAGCCCAAUCUUGACUCACAAAAAUCUGCAUAGGCACAACUCCAUUAUGCAUUACAAUAUGACAGCAUGCUUUAGCCUCAUCAAUCUUUGUAAAGUUUGUGGAUGGACAUUUAGUUUGUUUUGAUAACUAAAGGGGAAAACCUUUGGCCAGAGCUGGACAUGAGAGCAAAGCGAGGGAUAAAGGAUUACAUUGUAUUGCACUAUGUCUUAAAGUCCCUUGCAACAUCUGUUGUGCUAAUGAAAACUGGUGUCCUCAACCAAAUUGAGGGCCAC
RNAcentral lists this long non-coding RNA (2176 nucleotides) under Triticum aestivum (bread wheat). RNAcentral's name for it is "long non-coding RNA (TAES_LNC024322)". The record is from RNAcentral. Lineage: Eukaryota; Viridiplantae; Streptophyta; Magnoliopsida; Poales; Poaceae.